UGGCCCCAGGCUGCCCCCUGUCUGCUCAGGCUUCCAAAGCUACAACCUGCCAGCCUAUGCUCCUCACCCCUGAGAGGCCUGCGCGAUGCAAGACGGGAGAAAAGGAGGGGCGUACGCGGGCAAGAUGGAGGCGACUACGGCUGGUGUGGGCCGGCUAGAGGAAGAGGCGUUGCGGCGAAAGGAACGGCUGAAGGCCCUACGGGAGAAAACCGGGCGCAAGGUGAGAAAUGUGGAGUGAGGGUCGUAGCUGAGGCGGCCAGCGUUCGGGGUCCGGGUCGGGCUUGAGGAGAGCAGAGGGCUAAUAAGGAAAGACAGCUGCCGAGGGCGCGCAUGCGCGGGCGCUAACGCCUGCGCGAGAAGACGGAGCCCUCCCACGAUGUCUGGGGCUGCAUGGCGUGGGGCUGCAUGGCGUGAGACUCCUCUGGCUCUGGCGCGGUCGUCGCGCAUGCGCGGGGGUGGGUAAGGCAGUGGUCGGCGACCCGCAGUCCGUCUGACUCCUGCUUCCCGGGUGUUGCUCGUGUAGGUGUCUAGGGCUGCCUGUAGGUUCAGAUGCUUGUUGGGUUAGGCGUGAUUUGUUCCGUUCCUCUAUGGCCUAGCUGGUCUUUAACCCCCGGCUUCGAUUCUGAGUCAGACAGACUCCCCAGUCCGCAGCACCCCUCGGACAGGGCAGCAAGUGACGGUAAUAGGUACACAGCCGGAGUCGUUUCGUGCAAAAAUCAAAAAGAGGCCGGGCGCGGUGGCUCACGCCUGUAAUCCCAGUGCUUUGGGAGGCCGAAGCAGGCGGAUCACUUGAGGUUAGUAGUUCGAGACCAGCCUGGGUAACAUGGUGAAACCCCGCCUCUACUAAAAAUACAAAAAUUAGCG
RNAcentral lists this small RNA (864 nucleotides) under Pongo abelii (Sumatran orangutan). Its description in RNAcentral is "retained intron". The record is from RNAcentral. Lineage: Eukaryota; Metazoa; Chordata; Mammalia; Primates; Hominidae.